UAAAAUAACUAUGGAAGUGGCGCUACUAGGUACGAAUUUACGUAACAAAUAAGUCAACGUUGACUUCUAGCUUCACUCAGGACACAAACAGCGGUUCUCCCUGGAAAGUCCGGGUGUUUUCUCGACCCACCAGUCCACCCUGACUUCCUCCCUACUUGGACUUAUACUGCAUCACAUCACAAGUAUGUGGAUUAAAUUACAAAUUGAUUUUGUGGGUUAUACAAUGCAAAUACAAAUGAUAGUGCAUUACUUUCGUAGGUAUGUGAACAUUGCAUGAGAACAGUCUGACGUGGCAUGUGAGUACAGUACUGUGUUCAGAUAGACUGAAGAAAUUCCAAACCCCUCCUUCAAGGCUUAUCCAAACAGCAGGGAAUUAUAGUACAAUGAGGACAUAUUCUACAACUCUGAAUAGUAGAUCAUGGUGGGAAUCAUUUUAUCCUCUGUCUAGAUGUGUACAGUAGUACCAUUCUUUAAAAGGAAUUGCACUUGCACCUAUUUGAUUGGCCCAAUGCCAGUGCGUCUCCAGAGGAUGCUGGAUUGUUAUUGCAGCAAAAGUUGAGUCAGGUUGGAAUUUUUCUUGUAGGACGACCGCUGCAUUUUUGUUUAGUUUUUUGCCAGAGCCUGCUGCGGACAGCGCAGUGAGGGAGAUCCGUUUUUAGUGCUAAUGUCAGUCUGAACACGCCUUAUUCAGAAGUGAUGAUAUUAUCACGUCUCACCAGAAGCUGUACCAAAAAAACAAUACUGCAAAAAAAUAAUUCUUUGUAAAGCAUUUAGCCUAAAGCAGGGUAGUGUCUAAACCAGGUCAGAAACCUUUGACAAGUUCUGUCAUUUCAUCCACACAAACCAGAAACUUGAUGUACUUUUUUUGUCUUUAUUUUUAGAACAUGUUGAACACGCCGUUCCACAUGGCUGGGAACAUAAGUCACUAUCAGCUGAUGUAAAUAUUUUUUUGUAAAUCUAGCGUUUCUUGAGAAGAGUGCAAGUUUAACAGUGUAGUGUGUGUGGGGUGUGCGCAUGAUUUAUACAGUAUAAAAGUAUUUAUGAGUAUAUUAUACUCAGGACACAUUCAAACCAGAAGCAACAGUCUUAUGUGACAGUGUGUGGGACGUGAUAAAGAUGUUGUUUCUACCUGUGUGUUUUCAAAAGGGAGGUUGGGAAACUGGCUGGGGUUACAAGCUGCUGGUUCUUUCUGCCCUUUUUUUCUACCAUCAUCCUGGUGGAGUCUCUCCCCUUUUUAUUUUGCCAUUGUAAGUGAAGAAGAGAAAGUAUAACUCCACCAGGAUGAUGGGUAAGUUAUCAUGCCAUAUUACCAGAACAGACAUAAAUAUGUUUUCUGAAACAAAUAGUGUGAGUCUGAUAUGUGAGGAUUCUUCCAAAGGGCAGGUUUUCUUUACUGUUUCAAUGAAGAGUAUUGAAACAAAAGUGUACAUUCCUGUGUCACAAUUUUUCUAAAUAAUUUUCUUUUCUUCCAGUCAGCAAUCGUAUAUUUGGGGAUGGGUAAUUUUUUGUAUAAUGAUUUUUGAAUGUCUCAAUAUUCUCAUCAUUAAUACAACUGUGAUGACUUACAGCACUUGGUUACUCACACAACAAGUAAAGUGAUAUAUUUUUUAAGAAAAAUAUUAUUUUCCCCCUCUGAAAAAAGGUGUUCUUCUGCCAAUGUUUGAGGUAAACGUUACAUUUCAGACACAGGGAUAUACUCAUAGUAUUCUAAGCAACAGGUAUCAGUAUCACGCAUACAGUUUUUUUAUGUCAGAUCUGCAGGACAGUUCCUCAACAGAAUCAUAAAGCUUUCAUUUAUGGCAGUCACAGUUCUGAUUUGCAGCAAGCGAUUCAAGUACAUUAUGAAGUCUUCAUAAGUCAUUUACUGUGUAGUAAUACACCAUAUUUUUUUAUAACAGUGGAAAAGCCAGAGACUUAAGGCAAAUAUAACUCCUUUAUGUACCAUUUACGUUGUGUAUUUAUGUGUGACACAUUUUCAUAUAUGACUCCAAAGGGUUUGUGAAGUCCCCUGUGACACUUUGGUGACAUGUUGUAUAGUAUGACAGAAGCAUUAAGGGCAGUGUCUGUAGGUUUUCUUUAUACUGUACUGUAUUUAACUUUGGUAGUCCACUGCUGUUUGAAUGUAACUGGUUGUUCUGUGAAAAAACAUAUACAUUUAUAUUUACAUACAAUGUGUCUUUUUUUAUUAUUUCACUGAAUUAGACAAUGUUGCUAUCUUGUGUGAAUCUGCAUCCUAAUACUGUAUAGCACAGCACCAUC
This is a long non-coding RNA of Sebastes umbrosus (honeycomb rockfish), 2259 nucleotides long. RefSeq lists it as uncharacterized. The record is from RefSeq and is a predicted model, not a curated record. NCBI's taxonomy places the organism in Eukaryota, Metazoa, Chordata, Actinopteri, Perciformes, Sebastidae. The transcript has 2 exons.